GCCUACGGGAGGCAGCAGUCAGGAAUAUUGCGCAAUGGAGGAAACUCUGACGCAGCGACGCCGCGUGGGUGAUGAAGGCCUUCGGGUCGUAAAGCCCUGUCGGAAGGGAAAGAAAAGCGCGCUGGCUAAUAUCCAGCGGGCCUUUGACGGUACCUUCAAAGGAAGCACCGGCUAACUCCGUGCCAGCAGCCGCGGUC
RNAcentral lists this ribosomal RNA (197 nucleotides) under uncultured Desulforhopalus sp. RNAcentral's name for it is "partial 16S ribosomal RNA". It matches the Rfam family "Bacterial small subunit ribosomal RNA", at positions 337 to 522 of the family's 1533-position model. Lineage: Bacteria; Pseudomonadati; Thermodesulfobacteriota; Desulfobulbia; Desulfobulbales; Desulfocapsaceae. The record is from RNAcentral.